GGCCCCGUAGUUUAACGGAUAAAACAGCGGUUUCCUAAAUCGCCGAUCCGGGUUCGAUUCCCGGCGGGGCUA
This 72-nucleotide transfer RNA is filed under the name Chlorobiota bacterium. RNAcentral's name for it is "tRNA-Arg". It matches the Rfam family "tRNA". From Rfam's summary of the family: Transfer RNA (tRNA) molecules are approximately 80 nucleotides in length. Their secondary structure includes four short double-helical elements and three loops (D, anti-codon, and T loops). Further hydrogen bonds mediate the characteristic L-shaped molecular structure. tRNAs have two regions of fundamental functional importance: the anti-codon, which is responsible for specific mRNA codon recognition, and the 3' end, to which the tRNAs corresponding amino acid is attached (by aminoacyl-tRNA synthetases). tRNAs cope with the degeneracy of the genetic code in two manners: having more than one tRNA (with a specific anti-codon) for a particular amino acid; and 'wobble' base-pairing, i.e. permitting non-standard base-pairing at the 3rd anti-codon position. The record is from RNAcentral. Lineage: Bacteria; Pseudomonadati; Chlorobiota.